This 460-nucleotide ribosomal RNA is filed under the name uncultured bacterium. RNAcentral's name for it is "partial 16S ribosomal RNA". It matches the Rfam family "Bacterial small subunit ribosomal RNA", at positions 338 to 795 of the family's 1533-position model. The record is from RNAcentral.
CCUACGGGAGGCAGCAGUGAGGAAUAUUGGACAAUGGGCGCGAGCCUGAACCUGCCAAGUAGCGUGAAGGAUGACUGCCCUACGGGUUGUAAACUUCUGUUAUAAAGGAAUAAAGUGAAGCACGUGUGCCUUUUUGUAUGUACUUUAUGAAUAAGGAUCGGGUAACUCCGUGCCAGCAGCCGCGGUAAUACGGAGGAUCCGAGCGUUAUCCGGAUUUAUUGGGUUUAAAGGGAGCGUAGAUGGUUUGUUAAGUCAGUUGUGAAAGUUUGCGGCUCAACCAUAAAAUUGCAAUUGAUACUGGGAGUCUUGAGUACAGUUGAGGGAGCCGGAAUUCGUGGUGUAGCAGUGAAAUGCUUAGAUAUCACGAAGAACUCUGAUUGCGAAGGCAGCUUACUAAACUGCCACUGACAUUGAUGCUCGAAAGUGUGGGUAUCAAACAGGAUUAGAUACCCCUGUAGUC